ACGAACGCUGGCGGCGUGCUUAACACAUGCAAGUCGAACGGAAAGGCCCUGCUUUUGUGGGGUGCUCGAGUGGCGAACGGGUGAGUAACACGUGAGUAACCUGCCCUUGACUUUGGGAUAACUUCAGGAAACUGGGGCUAAUACCGGAUAGGAGCUCCUGCUGCAUGGUGGGGGUUGGAAAGUUUCGGCGGUUGGGGAUGGACUCGCGGCUUAUCAGCUUGUUGGUGGGGUAGUUGCUUACCAAGGCUUUGACGGGUAGCCGGCCUGAGAGGGUGACCGGCCACAUUGGGACUGAGAUACGGCCCAGACUCCUACGGGAGGCAGCAGUGGGGAAUAUUGCACAAUGGGCGGAAGCCUGAUGCAGCAACGCCGCGUGCGGGAUGACGGCCUUCGGGUUGUAAACCGCUUUCGCCUGUGACGAAGCGUGAGUGACGGUAAUGGGUAAAGAAGCACCGGCUAACUACGUG
This 467-nucleotide ribosomal RNA is filed under the name uncultured bacterium. Its description in RNAcentral is "partial 16S ribosomal RNA". It matches the Rfam family "Bacterial small subunit ribosomal RNA", at positions 29 to 507 of the family's 1533-position model. The record is from RNAcentral.